AUGAGGAGCGCCUCUGCCCGGCCGCCCCGUCUGGGAAGUGAGGAGCCCCUCUGCCUGGCCGCCACCCCGUCUAGGAAGUGAGGAGCGUCUCUGCCCGGCCGCCCCGUCUGGGAAGAAGUGAGGAGCGCCUCUGCCCGGCCACCCAUCGUCUGGGAUGUGAGGAGCGCCUCUGCCCGGCUGCCCCGUCUGGGAAGUGAGGAGCCCCUCUGCCUGGCCGCCACCCCGUCUAGGAAGUGAGGAGCGCCUCUGCCCGGCCGCCCCGUCUGGGAAGAAGUGAGGAGCCCCUCUGCCCGGCCGCCACCCCGUCUAGGAAGUGAGGAGCGUCUCUGCCCGGCCGCCCCAUCUGGGAAGUGAGGAGCACCUCUGCCUGGCCGCCCCGUCUGGGAUGUGGGGAGCACCUCUGCCCGGCUGCCCCGUCUGGGAGGUCUACCACAGAGGCCAGAAGCAAUGUGGGGGCUGGAUGUGGUGGCUCACGCCUGUAGUCCCAGUACUCUGGGAGGCUGAGGCAGGUUGAUCACUUGAGGCUAGGAGCUCGAGACCAGCCUGGCCAACGUGGCGAAACAUAUGAAAAAUACAACUGUCAAACCAACCAACGAACCAAGCGACAACAAAACAGGUCUACCCUGGAGUCAUACUCUAAUUUUUUCUAUUUUCCUCCCUUUCUGAUCCUUUAUCCCACUUUCUUUUUCUUCCUCUUCCUUCUCCUUCUUCUUUGUCAAAUAGAGGAUUGAGUUAUUAUCAUUGAUCCAUACAAAGUCCCUCUCUCAUUUAUUUUCUUUAAUUCCCACCCCCCAUUUCUAUUCCCCGUCUUCCCAUGUGCAACCUUCCUAAUAUGUUUGAUAUGCAUCUUUUUGUUCGUAUGUACUUUUGGAAAAUGUUAAUUGUUUUGUGUGCAAAAAAAAAUAAAAAUAAAAUAAAAUAAAAUAAAAACAAGCCCCUCUCAUACACACAGAUCUCCCAAUCAGUUUGUCAGUGUCUUCCAUGCUUAAACAUAAAUGGACAGCCAAGGAUUGCUAGAUAUUUGAGUAACACGUCCAAAAUGAAAGAAAAACUAAAGAUAAAUAAAUAGGAUCUGAAUUUGGAGAAAAUAGAAUGCAAAAAGCAGAAAAGAACUUUCAACUCAAAUUGUUAUCCUUGGAGAGAUUAUUAAAGAGACUGCAUCUAUAAAUCAAGAACAAUGUGCUAUUUAUAAAAAAGAUCAACACCAAAAGAACCACAGAAAAAAAAAUUUCCAAUUCUCAAAAUAAAAAAAAGGAAUAGAAGUAUCUCAGGAAGUACAACAAAAUGUAAGAUAUAAGGCACAAAGAUAAUCAACAGAUCCAAAAUCCUAUUAAUGAAGAGUUCCAGAAACAGAAAACAAGAGAAAAAAAAUUAAUGAAGAAAUAGCACAAAGAAAUGUCCCAGAGUUAAGAGAUUUCAAUCUCUAGAUAGAAAGGGCCCAACAUAGUGAGCACUCAGUACAAUUAAUAAUAAAACUAAAUAAGCAAACAAAAAACAUUGAAAUUUCAGAAUACCUGAGAUUUUUUAAGUUUGGGAGAGAGGAGGUCACCAAAACAGGAAAAGAAUCAGAACAGCAUAACACCUACAUAAUGUGAUAGAACAAAAUAGAACAACGAUCCUAAAACCUUGAGGAAUAAUUAUCUUCAACAUCAAAUUCUAUAUCCAAAUUAGCAAGCAAGUGUGAGAUUGUCAGAUACAGGACGACUCAGAAAAUUUACCCCUCACCCACACUUCCUUAGCAAGUUACUUGAGCAUGCACUCCAGGAAAUGGAGGUACUGAAUGGUAACAGGAAGCCAUGAGAUUCGAUAAACAGCAAAUCACAUUCCGGAGGGUCGGCAAGGGGAAUGCUGUAGUUAACACCCAUAUGGCAGAGUGCUGAGGAAGAACGAAAACUUUAUUAUUCAGGACAGUUAAAUAAAUAUGUAGUAUCUAAAAUGUGUAAGUGUGUAAGUCGUGAAAAGAGCGACAUAAUUAUUUAGUGCUAUGAAGAUGGCGACCAAAAGAAACACCUAAAUAAUUAAAAGAGGAUGCCAUUGGAAAAAACAUUUGGGGGGCAUGGGGCAGUGGGUGGCCAUUUGGCCCAAUUUUUUUAAACCAUGCAUAUGAAUCACUUUGAUAAAAAUGUAAACUGUAUCUCUUUAAAGGGCACAGAGAGAGGAUUAGCCCUCAUCAGAAGGGCCGCUUCUCCUGAGACUACAAGAUGAUGAGCAUGCUAAGUAAAGCUAAGGGUUAGAAGUGAGAUGUUUCACUGGGCUUGAUAGGUAGACUUGAUUUCCUGUAAGGCAGGAAGCUAAAUUAUAAAUAUAAUGCAAAAUAAAAAUGUUUGCUAAGAUUGAGAAAGCAGCACUAGAGUAGAUGGUCUAUGUGAAGUAGUGAAGGCUUGGCAGAGCUAUAAUGGGCAAAGGGGAAAGAAGGUGACCAGAAACUUGUCAAAGUAUAUACACCACAAUGCUAAGGAUGGAGAGUAUAUAUUUACAGAAGGAAAAAAAAGUAUGCCACUUUAGGGCUUGUGAAGGUGUGGUUCCUUUCUCGGAAUUACACUUAUUAAUUCAAAGUGCCUCAAUAAUAUAUCAAUCAGAUCAUUAAAGUUGCAUAAAAUCAUUUGCUAUGUAUUAAAUGUAGCAAUUAUUUGUUCAUGUAAGUGAUAAAAGAAGACGAUCUUCCACAAUGUACAAGAGUCCACGAGAGACUUUAUCAACAUGUUAUCUAGCAUUCUAAUCAAAUUCUAAGUAUGAGCAAAGUCCCUUCCUAACAAAAUUGUGAAUGCCUUGAGAAUUUUAUUCAUGACUGACAUUUUCGAAGAAGCAACUUUUAUUGAACACCUACUGAUUGUCAGGUAAUGUGCUGGUGCUAAAAAGAGAGUCGUGCCUAACCUCAAGGAGUUCACUGUCCACAGGAAGAGUGAGACAAUUAACUCAACAAUUAGAACAGAAUUUGAUAAAUAUGGAACACGUUUGUCUUGCUAACCAAAGUAUUCCCAAUGUCUGAUUUCAUUAAAGCAUCCCAAUCUGUAAUUACUGAAGUGCUGCCCCAGGGCAGGAAAAAUAGGAAUAAAUACAGCAAAGAAUGGCAAGAAGGGAAUUCCAGACAAAGAAAAGAGCAUGUGUAAAAGCCAGAAGAAAGGACAAAGGAAGUAGGAGGCAUUAAAAGGUAUGCAGGUAAGAGGACAUGGCAGAAGGGUUGCAAGGGUAGGGUGCUUUGUUUUCAGACCAAAUUGCUGAUCGACAGCCAAGGCGCAUCAUUUUAUUUUCAUUCUGGGGGCCAGAAAUUGUUGAAACCAUCUGAAACACACUUUCAACACUACAUAUAAACGGCAAAUAUUUAUCACUAUUUGAUUUUUUUUUUUGUCCUUUUCUGAAGACAGGGUCUCACUCUGUCACCCAGGCUGGAAUGAAGUGGCAUGAUCAUAGCUCACUGCAGCCUAGACUUCCUGGGUUCCAGUGAUCCUCCCACCUCAGUCCCCCGAGUAGCUGGGACCACAGGUGCCUGCCACCAUGCCUGGCUAAUUUUUUAUGUCACCAGGGUCGGCUAAUUUUUGUAUUUUUGGUAGAGAUGCGGAUUCACCAAGUUGCCCAGGCUGGUCUCAAAUUCCUGAGCUCAAGCAAUCCACCUGCCUCAGCCUCCCACAGUGCUAGGAUUACAGGCAUGAGCCACUGCACCUGGCUAUUACUGGACUUUCAAAUUUUCAAAGUUCAAAGAUGUUGCAAAAUGACAGACUCAAAACCGUUUUCAUUUAUAAAACUAGAGACCUUUUAAGCCUUUGUAACAAAUGUAUCAAGAGAUACUCAUAUUAAAAAUCUAUAUGAAAAUAAGCCACCUUUAAAUCAAUAUAAUGAAAUACUAUGACCCUUUUGACAUAUAAAAACACGUAUUUAAAAUAUAGUAGAAACAUUACAUAAAUUCACUAAAUACAAUCACAUGAAAACGCAUGCAUUGUACAUUGUUCAGAUGAAAAGAAAAAUAAGCAAAUAUCUGGUUUCAAGUAUUUAGACAGUGUUCAUUUGUAUAGUUAAGUGUGUUAUAAAUCUCUUUAAAAACCCCUAAACCUAGGUAUAAAUACCUUAGAAUUAUAAAAAUUUCAAAAUUUGAUCUAAAACUCCAAAAUGUAAAAACCUAAGAGGUAUGAUGCAGUUAUACAAAUACUUUUAAAGAAGGUAUUUUCUGUAUUAUACUAUUUGCAGAAACAUAUUAAAAUUAACAAACCAUGGGAAUUACAAGAUACCAAAUUCUGGAAUUAAAUUCUUUCCUGUUUUCAUGUGAAAUAGCACCUGUUUUCUAAAUAUGUAUAACCAAGGUCCUAAAAUUAAAAUUCCCAAAGAUAAGUUAUCACUAUAAACAGGAACAACCACAACAAAUGGAAAUAUAAAGAAAACCUAUAGCACUCACAGUCCCUUACUAAUCCUAGUAAGAUAGCUAUAGAAUGGAGAAAGUCCAUAAUUCCAGUCCUAAAGCCAGUCAAAACGUAGUUGUGACUCAUCAGAAGCCUUGAUAUUAUAAAGAUUUCAAUUCUUCCUCCAAAUGGUCAAUGGAUUCUAUGCAACGCUCAUCAAAAUUCUAGCAGGUUUUUGAAAACUGACAAGCUGAUUCUAAUAAGAAUAAUCAAGACAAUGUAGAACAGGGGUCAGCAAACUAUGGCCUAUGUUCCAAAUACAGUUAAAAGUGAUCUUUCUUACAUUCUUGAAGGUUUAAAACAAAAAAAAAAAGGCUGCACAUGGUGGCUCAUGUCUGUAAUACCAACACUUUGGAAGGCCAAGGUGGGCAGAUGGCCUGAGCCCAGGAGUUCGAGACCAGCCUAGACAACACAGGGAGAUCCCAUCUCUACAAAAAAUAAAGUAGCCAAGCAUUGUGAGACACACCUGCAGUUCCAGCUACACGGGAGGCUGAUGUGGGAGGACUGCUUGAACCCAGGAGGUCAAAGUUGUAAUGAGCUGUGAUCCUGCCACUGCAUUCCAGCCUGGGCAACAGAGUAAAGACCCUGUCUCAAUAAAAUUUUUUUAAAAUGUGAAAAAAAAAAAAAAAAAAGAAAAA
Long non-coding RNA from Symphalangus syndactylus (siamang), 5029 nucleotides. RefSeq lists it as uncharacterized. Lineage: Eukaryota; Metazoa; Chordata; Mammalia; Primates; Hylobatidae. The record is from RefSeq and is a predicted model, not a curated record.